GGCCGCCUGGCGAAAUGGCAUCGCGUCUGACUACGACUUGUUGUUAUCAGGAGAUUGCAGGUUCGACCCCUGCGGUGGUCA
This 81-nucleotide transfer RNA is filed under the name Hermanssonia centrifuga. RNAcentral describes it as "Phlebia centrifuga tRNA-Arg". It matches the Rfam family "tRNA". From Rfam's summary of the family: Transfer RNA (tRNA) molecules are approximately 80 nucleotides in length. Their secondary structure includes four short double-helical elements and three loops (D, anti-codon, and T loops). Lineage: Eukaryota; Fungi; Basidiomycota; Agaricomycetes; Polyporales; Meruliaceae. The record is from RNAcentral.